GAUGAAGAACGCAGCGAAAUGCGAUACGUAGUGUGAAUUGCAGAAUUCAGUGAAUCAUCGAAUCUUUGAACGCACAUUGCACCUCUCGGGAUUCCGGGAGGUAUGCCUGUUCGCGCGUCAUUUGUACCCUCAAGCUCUGCUUGGUGUUGGGUGUUUGUUCCGCCUCUGUGUGUGAACUCGCCUCAAAACAAUUGGCAGCCGGCGUACUUGUUUCGGAGCGCAGCACAUUUUGCGAUCCAGAUCAACGUACAGCGGCAUCCAAGAAGCCUUAUUUAACGCUCUUGACCUCGGAUCAGGUAGGGAUACCCGCUGAACUUAAGCAUAUCAAUAAGCGGAGGA
This 339-nucleotide unclassified non-coding RNA is filed under the name soil metagenome. Its description in RNAcentral is "partial contains 5.8S ribosomal RNA, internal transcribed spacer 2, and large subunit ribosomal RNA". The stretch from base 1 to 120 matches the Rfam family "5.8S ribosomal RNA", at positions 35 to 154 of the family's 154-position model. The record is from RNAcentral.